This 253-nucleotide unclassified non-coding RNA is filed under the name uncultured Gammaproteobacteria bacterium. Its description in RNAcentral is "contains 16S-23S intergenic spacer region". It matches the Rfam family "Bacterial small subunit ribosomal RNA", at positions 524 to 776 of the family's 1533-position model. Lineage: Bacteria; Pseudomonadati; Pseudomonadota; Gammaproteobacteria. The record is from RNAcentral.
UACGGAGGGUGCGAGCGUUAAUCGGAAUUACUGGGCGUAAAGCGCGCGUAGGUGGUUAGCUAAGUUGGAUGUGAAAGCCCUGGGCUUAACCUGGGAACUGCAUCCGAUACUGGCUGGCUAGAGUACGGUAGAGGGGAGUGGAAUUUCCGGUGUAGCGGUGAAAUGCGUAGAGAUCGGAAGGAACAUCAGUGGCGAAGGCGACUUCCUGGACUGAUACUGACACUGAGGUGCGAAAGCGUGGGUAGCAAACAGG